RNAcentral lists this long non-coding RNA (960 nucleotides) under Cyanistes caeruleus (blue tit). RNAcentral describes it as "lncRNA (ENSCCEG00000023075.1)". Lineage: Eukaryota; Metazoa; Chordata; Aves; Passeriformes; Paridae. The record is from RNAcentral.
AUCACUGAUUUCAUAUCUGAUGAACAACUUGAAAAAUAAACAAUAAUUUACUGAUGAGAUCUCCCUCUGUUCUCCAUGUCCAUGGAGAUGUUACAGUUUAAUUUUUUUCCGGUCCUUAGGUCUAACAUAUUCUGCGAAAAGCUGCAUUUCCUCCUUUAGAAAGAAUUUUACUACUCUAUAACACGUGAGCAUCCUGGCAACCUUCCUAAACCUGUGUGGAGAUGGAUGUGGAAGCUAUUUUGUUUCAGGAUAACCUUUCCCCUGUGUUGCUAUUCUCUGGAUGAAUGGGUGAGUAUUUAAGCUGAUCUUGAUGUAUGAAGGAACAGGAUGCAAUCUGAUGAGGAUGAAGCCCUGCACUCAUUCAGGAACAGUCAUUUUCACCAUCCAUGGAGGUAUUUAAAAGGUAUGUAGAUGUGGCUUUUAUGGACAUGGUUUAGUGGAGGACUUAGCAGUGCUGGAUUAGUGGUUGGAUUUGAUGUUCUUAAUGUUAUUUUCCAAAAAAUUCUUUUUUAGAGAAAAAUACCGAGAAAACCAGAUGCAGCUAGACUGGUCAAUGUUCUGUGUUAUUCAGGUUUCAGGAAUGUACUGUAAUGAUCUCAAUGAGCUCUUAAGAGUUCGCUGAUCCAGGAAUCUCAUGCAUGACAUCCAGACUGAGGGAGAGGAUGAGACGUGCUUCCCACUAACCACAGCAGCUACAGAUCUUCAAAGUUUUAACUGAUUUCAGCAUUAAGGAAAUGAAAUUUACCGUUGCUAUGGGAGAUGACAGAUAAAACCAAAGUAUUUGGAUGUAAAGUGAGCACAGAGUUGAAAAAGGUUGAUGUGGAGUGAUCAAAGGGAAUCCUUUAUCCUUCACAAAAGAUGGAAAGAAAUGCAGCUAAGGAAAAAAAUCUCUUUCAGUCACAUUAGAAAGAGUGAAAGAGACAUUUCCAUACACAAAUUUCUCUGUGCAAAUUUCAGAAC